Pongo pygmaeus (Bornean orangutan) is the source of this 587-nucleotide long non-coding RNA. RefSeq lists it as uncharacterized. The record is from RefSeq and is a predicted model, not a curated record. The transcript is spliced from 5 exons. NCBI's taxonomy places the organism in Eukaryota, Metazoa, Chordata, Mammalia, Primates, Hominidae.
GUCCGGAGGAGCGGCGAAGGGCUCCUCUUCCCCAUUGGCUGCGCCCACGGAGCCGCCUUGCGAUUGGCCAUAAGCGCGGGUAGCGGGGGUCGCGAGAGGCGUCAGGAUCCCUGGCGCCGCCUGAGCCAGCGGCUGCUGGGAGGCUGUGUCCGCAAGCCAGCGGGGCGAGGCGGCCGGGCCCUGCGCGUCAGGUCCUGGCCUGGGGCACCGGGGCUGCCAGCGUCGGAGGAGUGGGCUUCCUGGCCAGGCGCCGUGGCUCAAGCCUGUAGUCCCAGCACUUUGGGAGGCCGAGGCGGGCGGAUCACGAGGCCUGAGAACUGGGAGGAAGCUGGAGAAAAGAAUACCCUCUGAAUCUUUGUGUUUGGCUGCCCAGGCUCGCCUUGACACCGAAUGGUUGAAAACAUAUACAGAUACACAAGCACUGGGACUCACUGGAUAAAAGCAAUUGGUGUGAAAUUGAAGUAGAUGGGGUCUUGCUCUUUUGCCCAGGCUGGAGUGCAGUGGUGCCAUCUCGGCUCACUGCAAGCUCUGCCUCCCGGGUUCAUGCCAUUGUCCUGCCUCAGCCUCCCGAGUAGCUGGAACUAUAG